This 169-nucleotide ribosomal RNA is filed under the name uncultured bacterium. RNAcentral's name for it is "partial 16S ribosomal RNA". It matches the Rfam family "Bacterial small subunit ribosomal RNA", at positions 338 to 524 of the family's 1533-position model. The record is from RNAcentral.
CCUACGGGAGGCAGCAGUCGAGCUCCAAUGGGGGAAACCCUGAUGGUGCGACGCCGCGUGGGGGAUGAAGGUCUUCGGGAUGUGGGACCCCUGUGAUGUGGGAGCAUCAGAGAAGAUCAGUACCACAACAGGAACACACCGCUCAACCUGUGCCAGCAGCCGCGGUAAU